UAAGUGAGUAGUGAAAUCGUGUGGCUCAACCAUUACGGCUAUUACUCAAACUGGCGAGCUCGAGAAUGGUAGAGGUAGCUGGAAUUUCUAGUGUAGGAGUGAAAUCCGUAGAUAUUAGAAGGAACACCAAUGGCGUAGGCAGGCUACUGGACCAUUUCUGACGCUGAGGCACGAAAGCGUGGGGAGCGAACCGGAUUAGAUACCCGGGUAGUCCACGCCGUAAACGAUGGAUACUA
RNAcentral lists this ribosomal RNA (236 nucleotides) under uncultured Candidatus Saccharibacteria bacterium. RNAcentral describes it as "partial 16S ribosomal RNA". It matches the Rfam family "Bacterial small subunit ribosomal RNA", at positions 584 to 818 of the family's 1533-position model. The record is from RNAcentral. Lineage: Bacteria; Candidatus Saccharimonadota.